UUCGAGACUGAUAUAACCGUUGAGGUUAAUGAAAUCAAGAGAUCUGUGGCAUCAUCUACAAAGCGAAAUACAGUUCGGUUUGUGGAUCUCAAGCGCAGGAGAUAUUAUUUCCCACUUUUGGUUGGUAUAGGGUUGCUUGUACUACAACAACUCGGUGGAAUUAAUGGCGUCCUAUUCUAUUCCAGUACAAUAUUUGAAUCUGCAGG
This is a non-coding RNA of Camelina sativa (false flax), 206 nucleotides long. The record is from RefSeq and is a predicted model, not a curated record. NCBI's taxonomy places the organism in Eukaryota, Viridiplantae, Streptophyta, Magnoliopsida, Brassicales, Brassicaceae.